Molecule: unclassified non-coding RNA, 480 nt
Filed under: uncultured Glomus
Lineage: Eukaryota; Fungi; Glomeromycota; Glomeromycetes; Glomerales; Glomeraceae
Description: SSU rRNA
Rfam family: Eukaryotic small subunit ribosomal RNA
Source: RNAcentral
AGCAGCCGCGGUAAUUCCAGCUCCAAUAGCGUAUAUUAAAGUUGUUGCAGUUAAAAAGCUCGUAGUUGAACUUCGGGGUUUACCCAUUGGUCAGGCUUAAUUGUCUGUACUGGUGAGAUAAAUCUCUACCUUCUGAGGAACUUUCAUGUCAUUAAUUUGGUGUGAUUGGAAAUCAGGACUGUUACUUUGAAAAAUUGAGUGUUUAAAGCAGGCUAACGUCUGAAUACAUUAGCAUGGAAUAAUGAAAUAGGACGGACUGAUUCUAUUUCGUUGGUUUCUAGGAUCACCGUAAUGAUUAAUAGGGAUAGUUGGGGGCAUUAGUAUUCAAUUGUCAGAGGUGAAAUUCUUGGAUUUAUUGAAGACUAACUACUGCGAAAGCAUUUGCCAAGGAUGUUUUCAUUAAUCAAGAACGAAAGUUAGGGGAUCGAAGACGAUCAGAUACCGUCGUAGUCUUAACCAUAAACUAUGCCGACUAGGGAU